RNAcentral lists this ribosomal RNA (492 nucleotides) under uncultured bacterium. Its description in RNAcentral is "partial 16S ribosomal RNA". It matches the Rfam family "Bacterial small subunit ribosomal RNA", at positions 29 to 507 of the family's 1533-position model. The record is from RNAcentral.
AUUGAACGCUGGCGGCAUGCUUUACACAUGCAAGUCGAACGGUAACAGGCCUUCGGGUGCUGACGAGUGGCGAACGGGUGAGUAAUGCAUCGGAACGUACCCAGAGGUGGGGGAUAACGCAGCGAAAGCUGUGCUGAUACCGCAUGUGAUCUGAGGAUGAAAGCGGGGGACCGAGCAGCAAUGUUUGGCCUCGCGCCUUUGGAGCGGCCGAUGUCGGAUUAGCUAGUUGGUGGGGUAAAGGCCUACCAAGGCGACGAUCCGUAGCUGGUCUGAGAGGACGACCAGCCACACUGGGACUGAGACACGGCCCAGACUCCUACGGGAGGCAGCAGUGGGGAAUUUUGGACAAUGGGCGCAAGCCUGAUCCAGCAAUGCCGCGUGCGGGAAGAAGGCCUUCGGGUUGUAAACCGCUUUUGGCAGGAACGAAACGGUGUCCGCUAAUACCGGGCGCUAAUGACGGUACCUGCAGAAUAAGCACCGGCUAACUACGUG